UGCUAAGAAGAGGGGUUUAACCUCUAUUUAAGCGUUU
Molecule: transfer RNA, 37 nt
Filed under: Petricia vernicina
Lineage: Eukaryota; Metazoa; Echinodermata; Asteroidea; Valvatida; Asteropseidae
Description: partial tRNA-Phe
Source: RNAcentral